RNAcentral lists this unclassified non-coding RNA (329 nucleotides) under soil metagenome. RNAcentral's name for it is "partial contains 5.8S ribosomal RNA, internal transcribed spacer 2, and large subunit ribosomal RNA". The stretch from base 1 to 120 matches the Rfam family "5.8S ribosomal RNA", at positions 35 to 154 of the family's 154-position model. The record is from RNAcentral.
GUUGAAGAACGCAGCGAAAUGCGAUAAGUAAUGUGAAUUGCAGAAUUCAGUGAAUCAUCGAAUCUUUGAACGCACAUUGCGCCCCCUGGUAUUCCGGGGGGCAUGCCUGUCCGAGCGUCAUUACAACCCUCAAGCUCAGCUUGGUGUUGGGCCCCGCCGCCCCGGCGGGCCCUAAAGUCAGUGGCGGUGCCGUCCGGCUCCGAGCGUAGUAAUUCUUCUCGCUCUGGAGGUCCGGUCGUGUGCUCGCCAGCAACCCCCAAUUUUUUUCAGGUUGACCUCGGAUCAGGUAGGGAUACCCGCUGAACUUAAGCAUAUCAAUAAGCGGAGGA